RNAcentral lists this ribosomal RNA (921 nucleotides) under Periconia cortaderiae. RNAcentral describes it as "partial 28S ribosomal RNA". It matches the Rfam family "Eukaryotic large subunit ribosomal RNA", at positions 26 to 965 of the family's 3401-position model. Lineage: Eukaryota; Fungi; Ascomycota; Dothideomycetes; Pleosporales; Periconiaceae. The record is from RNAcentral.
CGCCGGAACUAAGCAUAUCAAUAAGCGGAGGAAAAGAAACCAACAGGGAUUGCCCUACUAACGGCGAGUGAAGCGGCAACUGCUCAAAUUUGAAAUCUGGCCCUUUCAGGGUCCGAGUUGUACUUUGCAGAGAGUGCUUUGGCGUGGGCGGCGGUCUAAGUUCCCUGGAACAGGACAUCGCAGAGGGUGAGAAUCCCGUAUGUGGUCGCCUGCCCUCGCCGUGUAAAGCCUCUUCGACGAGUCGAGUUGUUUGGGAAUGCAGCUCUAAACGGGAGGUAAAUUUCUUCUAAAGCUACAUACUGGCCAGAGACCGAUAGCGCACAAGUAGAGUGAUCGAAAGAUGAAAAGCACUUUGGAAAGAGAGUCAAACAGCACGUGAAAUUGUUAAAAGGGAAGCGCUUGCAGCCAGACUCGCCCGCCGUUGCUCACCCGGGCUCUUGCCCGGGGCACUCUUCGGCGGGCGGGCCAGCAUCAGUUUGGGCGGUCGGACAAAGGCCUCUGACACGUACUUCCCUUCGGGGUUGACAUAUAGGGGAGGCGAAAUGCGACCAGCCCGGACUGAGGUCCGCGCAUCUGCUAGGAUGCUGGCGUAAUGGCUGUAAGCGGCCCGUCUUGAAACACGGACCAAGGAGUCUAACAUCUAUGCGAGUGUUUGGGUGUCAAGCCCGAGCGCGCAAUGAAAGUGAACGGAGGUGGGAACCCCUCGGGGCGCACCAUCGACCGAUCCUGAAGUCUUCGGAUGGAUUUGAGUAAGAGCAUAGCUGUUGGGACCCGAAAGAUGGUGAACUAUGCUUGAAUAGGGUGAAGCCAGAGGAAACUCUGGUGGAGGCUCGCAGCGGUUCUGACGUGCAAAUCGAUCGUCAAAUUUGGGCAUAGGGGCGAAAGACUAAUCGAACUAUCUAGUAGCUGGUUCCUGCCGAA